RNAcentral lists this ribosomal RNA (166 nucleotides) under uncultured bacterium. RNAcentral describes it as "partial 16S ribosomal RNA". It matches the Rfam family "Bacterial small subunit ribosomal RNA", at positions 1335 to 1500 of the family's 1533-position model. The record is from RNAcentral.
CUAGUAAUCGCGGAUCAGCAUGCCGCGGUGAAUACGUUCCCGGGCCUUGUACACACCGCCCGUCACACCAUGAGAGUCGGGAACACCCGAAGUCCGUAGCCUAACCGCAAGGGGGGCGCGGCCGAAGGUGGGUUCGAUAAUUGGGGUGAAGUCGUAACAAGGUAGC